This is a small nuclear RNA of Phyllostomus discolor (pale spear-nosed bat), 161 nucleotides long. RefSeq annotates it as U1 spliceosomal RNA. The record is from RefSeq and is a predicted model, not a curated record. Lineage: Eukaryota; Metazoa; Chordata; Mammalia; Chiroptera; Phyllostomidae. The transcript has a single exon.
AUACUUACCUGGCAGGGGAAAUGUGAUCAUGAAGGUGGUUUUCCCAGAGUGAGCCUCAUCCAUUGCUCUCUGGAUGUGCCAACCCCUGCCAUUUGUCCAAACCUGGGAAACGCUACUGCAUAAUUUGUGGUAGUGGGGGAUCCCAUUCAUAUUUUCCCCUG